RNAcentral lists this ribosomal RNA (217 nucleotides) under uncultured bacterium. Its description in RNAcentral is "partial 16S ribosomal RNA". It matches the Rfam family "Bacterial small subunit ribosomal RNA", at positions 99 to 334 of the family's 1533-position model. The record is from RNAcentral.
CGGACGGGUGAGUAACGCGUGAGAAUCUGGCUUCAGGUUCGGGACAACCAUUGGAAACGAUGGCUAAUACCGGAUGUGCCGAAAGGUGAAAGAUUAAUUGCCUGAAGAUGAGCUCGCGUCUGAUUAGCUAGUUGGUGGGGUAAAGGCUUACCAAGGCGGCGAUCAGUAACUGGUCUGAGAGGAUGACCAGUCACACUGGGACUGAGACACGGCCCAG